AGUUAAUGUCUUUGUUCUUCCUGCAAAAAUUAGCAAGAUGAUUAGUAUUUCCACAGUUAUGGCAUGUCUUGCUAGGUGCAUUUGGAACAGGCAUGUAGUUAUUACUCUUGUCUAUUCCAACCUUGCCAUUUCUAUUUUUCCUAGGCUCCUUGUCUUUGCUAUCAGACUUUACCUCUUUAAGCUUAUGCUUAAGCUGUUUUUGAGUCAUCAGUCCUAUAUUAACCUGUUUGGGCUUAUCAGAUUUUAAAUUGUUGUUUUAGCCCUUGAACAAGAGCUACAUUUGAUAUGAUGACAUUUCCAAGAUUGAUAUUGCCAUAUCCCAGAGUCCUUCCUAUGUUGCCAUCUCCAUAAGAAACACUUGGGCCAGCUUUCUCCACAAACUCUGACAGCAGGGCCUUAUUUCCAGUCAUGUGUCCUGAACAUCCACUGUCCAAGACUAGGAUAUUCUUCCUGUUGCCCUGCAAUCACAAAGACCACUAAUUGUUAGUUUUAAGGACCCAGACUUGCUUGGAUCCCUUGGCCUUAUUAAGUUUGUUAGCUUUUGCAGCGGAAUUAUUAUUAUCAGAGUUUGAGCUAACAGACUUUGGAACAGAGUUUGUACUAGAAACAGAUUUUGUACUUGCAGAGUUUUUAUUAACCUUCUUCAAAGAAGGUUUCAAUUGAUAAUAAUCAUAAUACAAACUAUGAUAUUCUUUGCAAGUAUAAAUAGAAUGCCAUAAACUACCACAAUGAAAACAUGGAUCUUGUGGUUUAUAUCUAAUACUACUUUUUCUAACUCCAGACUUUGUAGGUAAGGAGUUAAUGUCCUUGUUCUUCCUGCAAAAAUUAGCAAGAUGAUUAGUAUUUCCACAGUUAUGGCAUGUCUUCCUAGGUGCAUUUGGAAUAGGCAUGUAGUUAUUACUCUUGUCUAUUCCAAUCUUGCCAUUUCUAUUUUUCCUAGGCUCCUUGUUUUUGUCAUCAGACUUUACCUCUUUAAGCUUAUGUUUAAGCUGUUUCUGAGUCAUCAGUCCUAUGUUAACCUGUUUGGGCUUAUCAG
This 1036-nucleotide long non-coding RNA is filed under the name Daucus carota (carrot). RNAcentral's name for it is "long non-coding RNA (DCAR_LNC000403)". The record is from RNAcentral. Lineage: Eukaryota; Viridiplantae; Streptophyta; Magnoliopsida; Apiales; Apiaceae.